This 530-nucleotide ribosomal RNA is filed under the name uncultured bacterium. RNAcentral describes it as "partial 16S ribosomal RNA". It matches the Rfam family "Bacterial small subunit ribosomal RNA", at positions 355 to 874 of the family's 1533-position model. The record is from RNAcentral.
UGGGGAAUUUUGGACAAUUGGGCGAAAGCCUGAUCCAGCAAUGCCGCGUGUGUGAAGAAGGCCUUCGGGUUGUAAAGCACUUUUGUCCGGAAAGAAAUCCUUGGCUCUAAUACAGUCGGGGGAUGACGGUACCGGAAGAAUAAGCACCGGCUAACUACGUGCCAGCAGCCGCGGUAAUACGUAGGGUGCAAGCGUUAAUCGGAAUUACUGGGCGUAAAGCGUGCGCAGGCGGUUUUGCUAAGACCGAUGUGAAAUCCCCGGGCUCAACCUGGGAACUGCAUUGGUGACUGGCAGGCUAGAGUAUGGCAGAGGGGGGUAGAAUUCCCACGUGUAGCAGUGAAAUGCGUAGAGAUGUGGAGGAAUACCGAUGGCGAAGGCAGCCCCCUGGGCCAAUACUGACGCUCAUGCACGAAAAGCGUGGGGAGCAAACAGGAUUAGAUACCCUGGUAGUCCACGCCCUAAACGAUGUCAACUAGUUGUUGGGGAUUCAUUUCCUUAGUAACGUAGCUAACGCGUGAAGUUGACCGCCU